UGGGGAAUAUUGCACAAUGGGCGCAAGCCUGAUGCAGCCAUGCCGCGUGUAUGAAGAAGGCCUUCGGGUUGUGAAGUACUUUCAGUCGGGAGGAAGGUGUCAAGGUUAAUAACCUUGGCAAUUGACGUUACCGACAGAAGAAGCACCGGCUAACUCCGUGCCAGCAGCCGCGGUAAUACGGAGGGUGCAAGCGUUAAUCGGAAUUACUGGGCGUAAAGCGCACGCAGGCGGUUUGUUAAGUCAGAUGUGAAAUCCCCGGGCUCAACCUGGGAACUGCAUCUGAUACUGGCAAGCUUGAGUCUCGUAGAGGGGGGUAGAAUUCCAGGUGUAGCGGUGAAAUGCGUAGAGAUCUGGAGGAAUACCGGUGGCGAAGGCGGCCCCCUGGACGAAGACUGACGCUCAGGUGCGAAAGCGUGGGGAGCAAACAGG
This 429-nucleotide ribosomal RNA is filed under the name Chloroflexota bacterium. RNAcentral's name for it is "Chloroflexi bacterium partial 16S ribosomal RNA". It matches the Rfam family "Bacterial small subunit ribosomal RNA", at positions 355 to 776 of the family's 1533-position model. Lineage: Bacteria; Bacillati; Chloroflexota. The record is from RNAcentral.